RNAcentral lists this ribosomal RNA (508 nucleotides) under uncultured bacterium. RNAcentral's name for it is "partial 16S ribosomal RNA". It matches the Rfam family "Bacterial small subunit ribosomal RNA", at positions 30 to 523 of the family's 1533-position model. The record is from RNAcentral.
AUUGAACGCUGGCGGCAGGCCUAACACAUGCAAGUCGAGCGGCAGCGGGAAAGUAGCUUGCUACUUUUGCCGGCGAGCGGCGGACGGGUGAGUAAUGACUGGGAAAUUGCCCAGUCGAGGGGGAUAACAGUUGGAAACGACUGCUAAUACCGCAUACGCCCUACGGGGGAAAGCAGGGGACUUUCGGGCCUUGCGCGAUUGGAUAUGCCCAGGUGGGAUUAGCUAGUUGGUGAGGUAAUGGCUCACCAAGGCGACGAUCCCUAGCUGGUCUGAGAGAAUAAUCAGCCACACUGGAACUGAGACACGGUCCAGACUCCUACGGGAGGCAGCAGUGGGAAAUAUUGCACAAUGGGGGAAACCCUGAUGCAGCCAUGCCGCGUGUGUGAAGAAGGCCUUCGGGUUGUAAAGCACUUUCAGCGAGGAGGAAAGGUUGAUGCCUAAUACGUAUCAACUGUGACGUUACUCGCAGAAGAAGCACCGGCUAACUCCGUGCCAGCAGCCGCUGUAA